ACGGAGGGUGCAAGCGUUGUUCGGAAUUACUGGGCGUAAAGGGCGCGUAGGUGGUUGUGUAAGUCAGAUGUGAAAUCCCGAGGCUCAACUUCGGAACUGCAUCUGAAACUGCAUGACUAGAGUACAGCAGAGGGAAACGGAAUUCCUGGUGUAGAGGUGAAAUUCGUAGAUAUCAGGAGGAACACCGGUGGCGAAGGCGGUUUCCUGGGCUGAUACUGACACUGAGGCGCGAAAGCGUGGGGAGCAAACAG
Molecule: ribosomal RNA, 251 nt
Filed under: uncultured prokaryote
Description: partial 16S rRNA
Rfam family: Bacterial small subunit ribosomal RNA
Source: RNAcentral